GAAGAGCUGGUCUGAGAGCAGGAAAUACUGCAGAGAUCGAGGAGCUGAUCUGGUCAUUAUCAACACUGAAGAGAAGCAGAGGUUCAUAACUUCAUUCAUCAAGGAGAGUGUGGAUUGGUAUGUCUGACACUGAGACUGAGGGGAUCAUGAAAUGGGUGGAUAAUUCACCACUGAAACAAGGGUUUUGGUAUGAAGAAGAGCCAAAUAAUGCCGGUGGAGGCGAGGACUGUGUUGAACUGAUGCCUUCGAAUCCCAUCCAGAACUGGAAUGAUCUCCCAUGCUCUGAGAAGA
This is a long non-coding RNA of Rhinichthys klamathensis goyatoka, 291 nucleotides long. RefSeq lists it as uncharacterized. Lineage: Eukaryota; Metazoa; Chordata; Actinopteri; Cypriniformes; Leuciscidae. The transcript is spliced from 3 exons. The record is from RefSeq and is a predicted model, not a curated record.